UAGGGAAUCUUCGGCAAUGGGGGCAACCCUGACCGAGCAACGCCGCGUGAGUGAAGAAGGUUUUCGGAUCGUAAAGCUCUGUUGUAAGUCAAGAACGAGUGUGAGAGUGGAAAGUUCACACUGUGACGGUAGCUUACCAGAAAGGGACGGCUAACUACGUGCCAGCAGCCGCGGUAAUACGUAGGUCCCGAGCGUUGUCCGGAUUUAUUGGGCGUAAAGCGAGCGCAGGCGGUUUGAUAAGUCUGAAGUUAAAGGCUGUGGCUCAACCAUAGUUCGCUUUGGAAACUGUCAAACUUGAGUGCAGAAGGGGAGAGUGGAAUUCCAUGUGUAGCGGUGAAAUGCGUAGAUAUAUGGAGGAACACCGGUGGCGAAAGCGGCUCUCUGGUCUGUAACUGACGCUGAGGCUCGAAAGCGUGGGGAGCGAACGGGAUUAGAUACCCUGGUAGUCCACGCCGUAAACGAUGAGUGCUAGGUGUUGGAUCCUUUCCGGGAUUCAGUGCCGCAGCUAACGCAUUAAGCACUCCGCCUGGGGAGUACGACCGCAAGGUUG
This 550-nucleotide ribosomal RNA is filed under the name uncultured bacterium. RNAcentral describes it as "bacterial SSU rRNA". It matches the Rfam family "Bacterial small subunit ribosomal RNA", at positions 355 to 896 of the family's 1533-position model. The record is from RNAcentral.